GUGGGGAAUCUUGCGCAAUGGGCGAAAGCCUGACGCAGCCAUGCCGCGUGAAUGAUGAAGGUCUUAGGAUUGUAAUAUUCUUUCACCGGGGACGAUAAUGACGGUAGCCGGAGAAGAAGCUCCGGCUAACUUCGUGCCAGCAGCCGCGGUAAUACGAAGGGGGCUAGCGUUGCUCGGAAUUACUGGGCGUAAAGGGCGCGUAGGCGGACAGCUUAGUCAGAGGUGAAAGCCCAGGGCUCAACCUUGGAAUUGCCUUUGAUACUGGCUGUCUUGAGUUUGGGAGAGGUGAGUGGAACUCCGAGUGUAGAGGUGAAAUUCGUAGAUAUUCGGAAGAACACCAGUGGCGAAGGCGACUCACUGGCCCAAUACUGACGCUGAGGCGCGAAAGCGUGGGGAGCAAACAGGAUUAGAUACCCGUGUAGUCC
RNAcentral lists this ribosomal RNA (425 nucleotides) under uncultured bacterium. RNAcentral's name for it is "partial 16S ribosomal RNA". It matches the Rfam family "Bacterial small subunit ribosomal RNA", at positions 354 to 796 of the family's 1533-position model. The record is from RNAcentral.